UGGGUCGGUAGCUCAGGUGGUUAGAGCGCACGCCUGAUAAGCGUGAGGUCGGAGGUUCAAGUCCUCCUCGACCCACC
RNAcentral lists this transfer RNA (77 nucleotides) under alpha proteobacterium D323. RNAcentral describes it as "tRNA-Ile". It matches the Rfam family "tRNA". From Rfam's summary of the family: Transfer RNA (tRNA) molecules are approximately 80 nucleotides in length. The record is from RNAcentral. Lineage: Bacteria; Pseudomonadati; Pseudomonadota; Alphaproteobacteria.